ACUCAAAGGAAUAGACGGGGGCCCGCACAAGCGGAGGAACAUGUGGUUUAAUUCGAUGAUACGCGAGGAACCUUACCCGGGCUUGAAAGUUAGUGUUUAGCAUGGAAACAUGUUAUCCCAUUAGGGCACGAAACUAGGUGCUGCAUGGUUGUCGUCAGCUCGUGCCGUGAGGUGUUGGGUUAAGUCCCAUAACGAGCGCAACCCCUGCCGUUAGUUGCCAUCAGAUCAAGCUGGGCACUCUAUCGGGACUGCCGGUGUAAGCCGCGAGGAAGGUGGGGAUGACGUCAAAUCAGCACGGCCCUUACGUCCGGGGCUACACACGUGUUACAAUGGUCGGUACAGAGGGCAGCUACACAGUGAUGUGAUGCCAAUCUCGAAAGCCGGUCUCAGUUCGGAUCGAAGGCUGCAAUUCGCCUUCGUGAAGUUGGAUUCGCUAGUAAUCGCGCAUCAGCCAUGGCGCGGUGAAUACGUUCCCGGGCCUUGUACACACCGCCCGU
Molecule: ribosomal RNA, 497 nt
Filed under: uncultured bacterium
Lineage: Bacteria
Description: bacterial SSU rRNA
Rfam family: Bacterial small subunit ribosomal RNA
Source: RNAcentral